AUGGAAGGGGAAUAUUCUUACCUUUCUUUGUGCAGAGCUGGGUAUGGGCGCUGCCCUGCCUACCUGCCCACACAUAGGCAAGCAGCUUUCUCUUCCUCUUCUUUCUCAGAUCAACAGAUGCUAGUCAGUGACCUUCAACAUUCUGAACACAUCCAAGAUACUGAGGAACAGUCUGCUUCAGAGGGGCUGCUAAGAAAACUGAAACCAUGGCCUCUUCCCUCAUUCAAAGUGGGAUCUGUCUCUUCCCCCAUAUUACCACCACCACUGCUGGCAGCAGAACGUUUCCUUAGACCAGGGGCAAGGCAAAGCACUGAGGGACCAGGAUCUGUGAGCAUCUUCUGCCCAUAUCUUCCAUGACAUCCCCCCCACUCUCCCAAGGGGCCCACAUGCCUUGUCUCAGUGCUUCAGUGUAGAGAAACUUCUCAUCUCAGAGACACCUAUACCUGCCUCUUACUCUCCCUGCCUGGAAUCCCACACAGCACACCUUCCCAGGAGGGCAAAUGGGGAACUGCUUCCUGGGAACUGGGGCCUGACUGAUUCCUAGCCAGAUCAUCCUGUCCCUGUCCCUCCAUUUACCUUGAAACAUAGCAGUCCUUCUUAGCUCUCCAGCAGAGAAUGACAGACCCAGUCAAACUGAGACCCUAUAGGUGGCCAGGCCCCAGGAACCAUGCUGUCCAGCUUCCCUUUCCUCCCUUCCUCAGUCUUUCUAAGCUACAAGCUUAGGAAUAUCCUAUUGGUCACAGAAAGGGGCUGCCUCAUGGCCCCCUUUGCCUCCCAUUAGCUCUAUCCAUAGGGAUGGUUCUUGUUCUGAUGGCUGUGGCUGCUCCAGGGGCUGACAUUGGAGAAGGCAAGUUCCCAAAAUUAGUUGGGGAAAAGAGAGUCUGCAUCUCUGCUACCCAUACCCCAGAUACCUAGGCUCUUCUGCCUUUCUCUCCAAAGGUCCCCCUCCAGCUCCCAUCACAAUCUUCCUCAUCUCAAAACUUAAGAUUCAGCAUCUCCUGCCACCUCUAAGCCUCUGUCCUGCCUCUCAGUGCUUCACUGCCCUGAGUAGACAUCUGCCAACACACAAAUGACACUGAGGCCCUCACCCCACCCCCAGCUGAUGGAACCUAGGGAAAGAAACUGGAUGGCUAUGUCCCCUUUCCAUCCUCUGCCCCUGUGGUUCAGGGGGCAUUCAGAGGUACCCAGCAUGACACUUCUCUCUUCUGGGUAUUAACUGCCUCACAGUUCCUUCAGGCUUUUGGAGAGACAGGGAGUAGAGAAGGUAUAGAGGGAACUGGAGUGGUAGGGAGGAAAUAGGGUCAGGGAUCAUCUGAAUUUUUAUAAAUGUUAUCAUUGCUUAUAAAUAUAUGUCUUG
This 1357-nucleotide long non-coding RNA is filed under the name Phascolarctos cinereus (koala). Its description in RNAcentral is "lncRNA (ENSPCIG00000033812.1)". The record is from RNAcentral. Lineage: Eukaryota; Metazoa; Chordata; Mammalia; Diprotodontia; Phascolarctidae.